RNAcentral lists this ribosomal RNA (433 nucleotides) under uncultured bacterium. RNAcentral describes it as "partial 16S ribosomal RNA". It matches the Rfam family "Bacterial small subunit ribosomal RNA", at positions 29 to 507 of the family's 1533-position model. The record is from RNAcentral.
AGCGAACGCUGGCGGCAGGCCUAACACAUGCAAGUCGAACGAACUCUUCGGAGUUAGUGGCGGACGGGUGAGUAACACGGGGGAACAUGCCUUUUGGUUCGGAAUAACUCAGGGAAACUUGUGCUAAUACCGACUGUGCCCUUCGGGGGAAAGAUUUAUAGCCAUUAGAGCGGCCCGCGUCUGAUUAGCUAGUUGGUGAGGUAACGGGUCACCAAGGCGAGGAUCAGUAGCUGGUCUGAGAGGAUGACCAGCCACACUGGGACGAAGACACGGCCCAGACUCCUGGGGGAUGGAGCAGUGGGGGAUCCAGCGCAAUGGGGGGAAGGCUGACGCAGUCAUGCCGGGUGAAUGAUGAAGGUCGUAGGAAAGUAAAAUUCUUUCACCGGUGACGAUAAUGACGGUACCCGGAGAAGAAGCCCCGGCUAACUUCGUG